Small nucleolar RNA from Rhododendron vialii, 108 nucleotides. RefSeq annotates it as small nucleolar RNA snoR100. The transcript has a single exon. NCBI's taxonomy places the organism in Eukaryota, Viridiplantae, Streptophyta, Magnoliopsida, Ericales, Ericaceae. The record is from RefSeq and is a predicted model, not a curated record.
GAAGGAAGAAAGCACGGUAAUAUGCACAAAAAUUAAUUUGGGUCUCUAGGUCUGCCCUCUUUAAUGCCUUUCAGCUUUGAUUUCAAGGCAUGGUUCCACAGCAAAAUG